CGUCGUGAAGAGGGAAACAACCCAGACCGCCAGCUAAGGUCCCAAAGUCAUGGUUAAGUGGGAAACGAUGUGGGAAGGCCCAGACAGCCAGGAUGUUGGCUUAGAAGCAGCCAUCAUUUAAAGAAAGCGUAAUAGCUCACUGGUCGAGUCGGCCUGCGCGGAAGAUGUAACGGGGCUAAACCAUGCACCGAAGCUGCGGCAGCGACGCUUAUGCGUUGUUGGGUAGGGGAGCGUUCUGUAAGCCUGUGAAGGUGUACUGUGAGGUAUGCUGGAGGUAUCAGAAGUGCGAAUGCUGACAUAAGUAACGAUAAAGCGGGUGAAAAGCCCGCUCGCCGGAAGACCAAGGGUUCCUGUCCAACGUUAAUCGGGGCAGGGUGAGUCGACCCCUAAGGCGAGGCCGAAAGGCGUAGUCGAUGGGAAACAGGUUAAUAUUCCUGUACUUGGUGUUACUGCGAAGGGGGGACGGAGAAGGCUAUGUUGGCCGGGCGACGGUUGUCCCGGUUUAAGCGUGUAGGCUGGUUUUCCAGGCAAAUCCGGAAAAUCAAGGCCGAGGCGUGAUGACGAGGCACUACGGUGCUGAAGCAACAAAUGCCCUGCUUCCAGGAAAAGCCUCUAAGCAUCAGGUAACAUCAAAUCGUACCCCAAACCGACACAGGUGGUCAGGUAGAGAAUA
Molecule: ribosomal RNA, 673 nt
Filed under: Escherichia coli
Lineage: Bacteria; Pseudomonadati; Pseudomonadota; Gammaproteobacteria; Enterobacterales; Enterobacteriaceae
Also listed under: 1 other name
Description: partial 23S ribosomal RNA
Rfam family: Bacterial large subunit ribosomal RNA
Source: RNAcentral